This 915-nucleotide ribosomal RNA is filed under the name uncultured archaeon. RNAcentral's name for it is "bacterial SSU rRNA". It matches the Rfam family "Archaeal small subunit ribosomal RNA", at positions 1 to 922 of the family's 1478-position model. The record is from RNAcentral.
UUCCGGUUGAUCCUGCCAGACCUGACUGCUAUCGGAUUGAUACUAAGCCAUGCGAGUCAUUGUAGCAAUACAAGGCAUACGGCUCAGUAACGCGUAGUCAACCAACCCUAUGGACGAGAAUAAUCUCGGGAAACUGAGCAUAAUUCUCGAUAGAUCAUAAUGCCUGGAAUGGUUUAUGGUUAAAAUGAUUCGUCGCCAUAGGAUGGGACUGCGGCCUAUCAGCUUGUUGGUGAGGUAAUGGCCCACCAAGGCGAUUACAGGUACGGGCUCUGAGAGGAGAAGCCCGGAGAUGGGUACUGAGACACGGACCCAGGCCCUAUGGGGCGCAGCAGGCGAGAAAACUUUGCAAUGUGCGAAAGCACGACAAGGUUAAUCCGAGUGAUUUCUGCUAAAGAAAUCUUUUGUCAGUCAUAAAACCACUGACGAAUAAGGGGUGGGCAAGUUCUGGUGUCAGCCGCCGCGGUAAAACCAGCACCUCAAGUGGUCAGGAUGAUUAUUGGGCCUAAAGCAUCCGUAGCCGGCCUUGUUAGUUUUCGGUUAAAUCCAUGUGCUCAACACAUGGGCUGCCGAAAAUACUGCAUGGCUAGGGAGUGGGAGAGGUAGACGGUACUCAGUAGGAAGGGGUAAAAUCCUUUGAUCUAUUGAUGACCACCUGUGGCGAAGGCGGUCUACCAGAACACGUUCGACGGUGAGGGAUGAAAGCUGGGGGAGCAAACCGGAUUAGAUACCCGGGUAGUCCCAGCUGUAAACGAUGCAGACUCGAUGAUGCAUUGGCAUAAUAGCCAGUGCAGUGUCGCAGGGAAGCCGUUAAGUCUGCCGCCUGGGAAGUACGUACGCAAGUAUGAAACUUAAAGGAAUUGGCGGGGGAGCACCACAAGGGGUGAAGCCUGCGGUUCAAUUGGAUUCAACGCCGGG